GUCCGACUCACCAACUAAAACUAUUAUCUAACCCCCUAUAGGUCCGACUCACCAACUAAAACUAUGAUCUAACCCCCUAUAGGUCCGACUCACCAACUAAAACUAUUAUCUAACCCCCUAUAGGUCCGACUCACCAACUAAAACUAUUAUCUAACCCCUAUAGGUCCGACUCACCAACUAAAACUAUUAUCUAACCCCCUAUAGGUCCGACUCACCAACUAAAACUAUUAUCUAACCCCCUAUAGGUCCGACUCACCAACUAAAACUAUUAUCUAACCCCCUAUAGGUCCGACUCACCAACUAAACAAAAUACGGGGGGGGGUUUUCUUCAAAACAUCACAUAACGUCUUCCAGAUAUCUGAGGACACCCUUCCCUCUGAAGGUCGGACCAGUCUGUCACAAGGGUGGAAAAGAUGACGGAUUACCCACACUGAUUGACAAAGUCUAAAACUUCAAGGGUGACCUCCUCCUCCUCCUCUUUAUAUUAUUGAUAUGGGGCCGCUGUAAUAGUCCAGAAAAGGCUACAUAUACCAAGGGGAUAACUGGACUCUCAUCCAUAAAGCCACGGAGCCAGUCACACUCGCAGAGGACACGAUUUGGAUAACUCCCCCCCCCCAGUGAAUUGAUGUCAUGAUCCUGGUGCAGAA
Molecule: long non-coding RNA, 647 nt
Filed under: Salmo salar (Atlantic salmon)
Lineage: Eukaryota; Metazoa; Chordata; Actinopteri; Salmoniformes; Salmonidae
Description: lncRNA (ENSSSAG00000087734.1)
Source: RNAcentral